Molecule: ribosomal RNA, 461 nt
Filed under: uncultured bacterium
Lineage: Bacteria
Description: partial 16S ribosomal RNA
Rfam family: Bacterial small subunit ribosomal RNA
Source: RNAcentral
GACGAACGCUGGCGGCGUGCUUAACACAUGCAAGUCGAGCGGUAAGGCCUCUUCGGGGGUACACGAGCGGCGAACGGGUGAGUAACACGUGGGUGACCUGCCCUCAGCUCUGGGAUAAGCCUGGGGAAACUGGGUUUAAUACCGGAUAUGACUUUUCCUGGCAGGGGGUUUGGUGGAAAGUUUUUUCGGCGGGGGAUGGGCCGGCGGCCUACCAGCUUGUUGGGGGGGUGAUGGCCUACCAAGGCGACGACGGGUAGCCGGCCUGAGAGGGCGACCGGCCACACUGGGACUGAGACACGGCCCAGACUCCUACGGGAGGCAGCAGUGGGGAAUAUUGCGCAAUGGGCGGAAGCCUGACGCAGCGACGCCGCGUGGGGGAUGACGGCCUUCGGGUUGUAAACCUCUUUCGACCCCGACGAAUUUGGACGGUAGGGGUAGAAGAAGCACCGGCCAACUACGUG